This is a non-coding RNA of Ictidomys tridecemlineatus (thirteen-lined ground squirrel), 5014 nucleotides long. The record is from RefSeq and is a predicted model, not a curated record. Lineage: Eukaryota; Metazoa; Chordata; Mammalia; Rodentia; Sciuridae.
UUGUUAUUUUAAGUCAACCAUGUCUGGGGGGUUGUGGGGUUUUUACAAAAAGCAUCUUGACUUCCUGGUUUGCCUGCCAAAGUCUGCUCAGGCCCCCUCGGCAGGGGUCUCGGGGAGGGACCACAGGGUUGAGACCCAGGAGCACACGGUCACCCCGUUUUCUGACUCAAGCUGUAACCGUCAUCUGGGCACAAACCUGGCAUGAGAGCUGGCCUCCCAACACCGCCCUCUCCAUCCCCGGGGGACCCAGGGACAGAAGGUGAGGAGUCAGAGCCUGCCGGGAAAGAGGUGAUAAGACAAACGCCGUCCCCGGCCACCACGAGAGCUUUUCCAGGAAGGAAGGGACAGAACAGACUCUUGGCUGGGGAAGCUUCCUCUCUCUCGGUGUGGAAAUGGAGCGGCGCUCAUGGGUUUGGGGGCUUCCUGGGGAGCUGUUGGCAUUCCAUGUCCCAGAGAGCAGAGCAUCAUCGUUAGACCAGACCCUCCAGAGCUGCAGGAGGGUUACCCGCUCCCGAGAGCUUCAGACUCCAGCUUCCGUGCCUGCUGACGUGAUCUAUGGAGGCCAAGCAGCCCUUUUGCAGCCAUGAGGAUGGAAACCGCAUGGAAGAACGGGAAGAUGAAAAAGCUGAGGUCCCUGGAGGCAUCGCUUGCCCGACACGGAGCUUAUCAUUCGUUCAAGUCAAAUAAAACCCUCCCUGUUCAAGUCAUUGGAGUAUGGCUUUCUGGUAUCUAUAGUCACAGGCGAUCCCGCCAUCCUUUGUCGACGAGGGUCAGGGAAUAAAAGUGAAAUGUCCUCAGCCCGGGCUACCGCGUGCGCCAUAGCCUCACCAAGCCCAUCCAGGCGGGAGCAGAAGCUCAGCACCGCUGGAGUGGAAUGGAUGGAGAGAGAGGUGCUGAGUGAAAAAUCCCCAAAGCAAACAAAGAACCUGUCAAUCAAAGUUUUGUAAAUCAGACUGGCAAAGCGGCUCAGGGUGGGCAGCCCCGAGAGGGAGAGGCAUCGCCAACACAGACCAGGGACAGUCACACCAAGCUGCCACCCCCUGGGUCUACUGCACACGGAGACGCCCACAGCACCUCUGUCCCUCUCCGUGCAGGGCUGUGACGCUCCGGCUCACCUGGGCAAACACAGUCACUCCCAGGCCAGGUGGCUGCCCAAAGCGGCCUUUGCCCGUCCCUCAGGUCCCUGGGCUCUCUCCAGCAGACGGCAGCGAACACCUCAACGAGGGUUUGAUCAAUGGAGGCCGCCACGCUAUUGACAGAGUCCUGCGGUUUCUGCAAAUCGCCCGGCGCCCAGAGAUCCCCGAGAUUAAUCUUCACAAAUACGGGGCAGAGGGGGAGGAAGAAGCCAAGUCGAUUUAGUUUCCGAUGAUUACUUUCCCCAGAAAGCACUGAAGAGUCAGAAGUUUAACUGAUGUACGUUGGACAGGGAGACAAAUCCAGAAAUAUCACCCCAUUACCCGGCCGCUUCCAGGAGGCAUUUUUCACGACAGCAGGUGGGCUGGCCCUGUCCAAGUCGGGAAGGAGACAAGACACCGCCACAGGACAUCGACGCGUCCCAGGGCCCAAGCGCCAAGCAACUCAGGGCCAAGAAUGGGUCCUGAGCCUUCGGCGUGCCCUUGAGGACACACACGUCCACCAAUUUCCCAUUUUUAUUUCACGCUGCCUAGAUCUUUGGAAAUUAUACUGACUGUUCCUUCUUGGAAUAAGGUGGAUUUGUAUUUUUUUUUUUAAAUACAAAGAAGUAAUUGGCUGGGCACAGAGGCUUAGGCCUGUAAUUCCAGCAGCUGAGAGGCUGAGGCAGGAGGAUCACAGGUCUGACGUGACGCCAGUUUUAACUUCUUGGCUGACAUCCAACGUCACGACCAGAGAACUCGAGGCGACGUCCCUCUCUGUGCGUUAUGGGGUCAGGGCCAGCUCUCUGGUGUGCCUCGGGAGCGGUCACACGUGCCCCCCCCCUCACCUGGGGGACCCCGUUCUGCUGUUGGUGUCUUGAAGUCCCUGGCAUCCUCCCCGGGCACCGGACCCUCAGGUCACCCAGCCAGCCUGCCCCGGGCGCUUGAGGAAAGGCAGGGUCCCGGGUCACCCCUGCUUUGCCGCGGUUCAGCCCGACAGGCCGUCGGAGGGGAGUUUCCUUUCUACAACCAGAGGAAGAGCCGCGUCUGGUUUUAACUGCAGAAAACUUUGCACAGCCGGGACCCAGGAGCGGUAGGAACGGAACCCAGGCUGGGGGGGAUCAAGGGACAACGUGGAAAGGGAUAUGAAAAUAUUUCAACUGUCCCUUCUGUCCAUUUUUUCACUUCAAGGGUAGCCAGUUCUUAAAAGGAGUGAAAAAGAACAAUUUCUUGGUAAAACUAAAAAAAAAAAAAAAAUCGCAUUUCUGAGCCUCGAUUUGCUGAGCAUGGGGGCUGGGAGUGGCCUGGGACUGUCCCUGGGGUCAGAGACAGAACUGAGUUCUUCCCAGGAGCUGGCUCCGGGCGAUGACCCUCCAGGCGGCUCCAACGUCACACGGGGGGGACGCGCAGCCAUAGAGCAGAGCAGGAACGCAUCCCGAGCCCUUGGCCGGGAGAGUCCCCAGAUCCACCUGGCAAGCGACAAGAUGAAGUGUGGAGGAUUCGGCAGAAUCGCAGAAGCCAGGCGAACGUCUCCAAGGGGACCCCGUCGGAUGCCGCAAAUAAGAUGCGGGAUUUUUUUUUUUCCAGAGGAAAAAUAUCAAAAAUAGUUUCUUUUUCUUUUUUCAAAACUUCAUGGAGGAGGAUUUCCUUGCUCUGCUGGAGCCUGAGAAAUAUGGAGAGGAGCAGAUUUGGAAGCCGGAACUGGAGAGAAGUAACCUGCAUGAUAAAAAGGAAAAGGGAGGCGGGCGGGGUGGGGGCAGAGUAGAAGGUUCCGGAAGCCGACGUGAGCCAGAGGAAUUCUCUCCACAGACGGCGUGCUCCAGGGGAGUCACCCGGGCUCCGGGGCCGGGAGGCGAUUCCCCGUAAGCAUCGGGGACAGACAGGGUCCUGCGCUGGGCUCCUGGGGGGAAGCAGGGCGCUGGAGCCGGCAGCCCAUGGGACCCCAGGAGACCCCUCCCCACGUUAGAGCAGGCUUUGCCUAGAUCUCCGAGGGUCAGGAUCCCAUCUGGCCUGGGUCCUUCUACUUUGUUAUAAAACGUCCGACAGUGACAUGGGACCGUGGGGUCAGAGGGUCAGGGCUCCUCGGAGGUCCACACACACCGCGUUGAGUACCUCCUGUGAGCCAGGCGCUGCGUCCACUCGAGACUCUUCAGUCAUCCGUGAGUCCCUUCCUCAGGGACAGUGUGACCACAGAGUACUCAGGUAACCCCAAAACCACCACUAGGGGUUCAGGCUCCAUUUCCCAAUUUAACUGUCCUCCUCGACAGUCGUGAUCGCCAGAAUUAACUCAAGAAAAGCCAGGCCUUUCCGCCCCACCUGGUCUUCCAACAUGGACGUGGCGUGGACAGUCGAUCAGGGAGGGUGAACUUGGGUGGCCGCUGGCCCUGGGGCCUCUUUUGGAAGGACACUAAUCCCAUCAGGAGGGCCUAAUCGGUUCCUGAAGUCCUCCUCUCCUAGCACCAUCGCGUUGGGGGUUCAGGGUCCCCCACGUGGGGGACACAUUCUGUCACAGCGAGCACUCAUCAAGCGGCUGACCCACGUCUGUGAGCUCCUGGAGGCUGCGAGCAGCGGAGCCGUGAAGCUCAAGGUCCGUGGGGCCUGAGCGCCGGCUACAGGAGACCCCAGGAAGGGGUCCGCGCCCUCCUUCCGUCUGCACCGGCCACCUGAUGAGAGGAGCGGGGAGCCACUCUGCCGCGGGGCUGGACACACAGGGGCUCAUCGCCACCAACACGUCACACGGGGACUCUAAUCACCUGCUCCUUAAACGGUCAAGGAACAGAACACGAGGAGGCAGGACCACAGGGCUCUGGGGUGGAGGCCACCCGUGAGGAACCGUCCCCUCAAAAGCACCUCACAAGGGGACCCUAAGAUGCCACAUGAGGGCAGAACCAGCAUCCCACGUCCCCAGCCCAGGACCUGACCCCAGGCUGACCCAAUACGACCUCGGGGACACCUUGUGAAAGCCCCUGGGUCCACGGCCACUCUCAGGAGGCCACGCUCGGAGGUUUGUGACCCCGUCUGUCACCAUGGCCACCAGCCGCUGCCACGCUCCGUCCCCGACUCUGCUUCCUCCUCUGUCCCCCAGUGCCCUUCUUCCAAGGGGUCACUAGGAGCCGAAGUAAUUGGCUUCAGAAGGUAAAUCCACCGCGACUCGUGAAUUCUGAAACUCGGCUUGAGACACGGUCAGUAAACCUGCCAAGAAACCAAAGCAGGAAGAGCCGGGAAUGUUGGAGUCCCUUCAAUCCCACGACCAAGACGUCAGAGGACACUCCACGGGGAGGACGCACUCAGGGCCACCUCCCUUCCUGCCCCAGCACCUGUGUCACCUGCCACGUCACCUGCCACGUCCCCUGCGUCCCUUCUCGGCCAAACCCACUCCCACCUAAAUCUUUGGAAAGAGAAAGGAAAGGGGGUGUUUAAACCAAGGUGACCCAUGCCCAGGACCCACGUCCCCUCCUCACCCUCCCUCUGUCCACAUGCCCCACGUUGACCUUCUCCUCUCUCCCACACGCCGCGCGACUGGGCCACCGAGUUCCGAGUUCAGUCUUCUAUCGGGGGUUCUUUGAUUUGCCCAAGCCGACGUGAAGGUCCCCCCACCCCCCGUUUCUAUGACAACCUCUCGGCGCGUUCAGUCUUCACAGAGAAGAGUUAUUGCUUUUAUGUGCUCAGACCCUAAGACAACAGGGAAAUUAACAUAAUGUGGUCCUACCAGGAAAAAAAAAUAAUCAAACCAUCAAAACCCUCAUAUCCUCCCCAGGACUUCACAGAUCGCUUCCAGUGAAAAGGGACCAAGGAGAAAUGAGGCCCUGGCGUCUGACAACGCUGUUAACAUUAGAGAUUUCAUUUCAGAUGCAUUUAGAUGAAGCCAGACCAUAAUGGGGCUCAAAAAAAAAAAACAGAAG